RNAcentral lists this non-coding RNA (21 nucleotides) under Arabidopsis thaliana (thale cress). The record is from RNAcentral. Lineage: Eukaryota; Viridiplantae; Streptophyta; Magnoliopsida; Brassicales; Brassicaceae.
UCGAGGUUGGAAUUCUGUGUA